Long non-coding RNA from Sander lucioperca (pikeperch), 4146 nucleotides. NCBI's taxonomy places the organism in Eukaryota, Metazoa, Chordata, Actinopteri, Perciformes, Percidae. The record is from Ensembl.
UUUUAUUUCUUUGCAGUUAGCAGACGUACUGGCCAGCGCCCUCCGUCCACCAACAUGUCUCCCCUGGUCACCCCCUCCCCCCACUCUGGCUCUGAGGUCACACCAUCCGCCGGUGGGAUCGGUGGCAGUGAAUAUGCCGUGACGUACCGCAGGGGAACAGGGUUAGUAAGCGGGGGCGCGGGGACCCAGGGCACCUACACUUCCUUUGGCUCCGAAGGUUUGGGAGUCACAGGCAACAAGACUCAGUCCAGAUCCCCGGGACUCUCCACUAAAGUGGGCCGAAGAGCAGCCAUGCACAUCACAGGGCCCACCACGGUCACUGUGCCCCUUCACAUCACCUCCAACCUGGCAUUAGGGGUGCUGCAGGGGGGCGGGGGCGACAGGGUCAUCCACCGGAGCAGGGAUAAGGAUGCAGGGGACAGGGUGGAAGGGAGGGAGGGAGGAGAGAAGGUGGAGAGGAGUGAAAGCAGAGGAAUGGAAAGGAAGGUGGAAGAGAGCAAAAAGGUUGAGGAAGAGGAGAAGAAUUCCAGUGAGAAAGACGAGAAAGGAGUGGCGGAUGCAGGAGGGAAUACUGUGGCAGGUGGUGGUGGGGAGGAAGAACGGGAAGGAAAGAAAGAGGAGGAGGAGAAGGAGGAAGAGGAGGAGGAAGUCAGAGAAGGAUGUAGCUGCAAGCCAGAGCUGGAAGGGGUACCCAGAGAGGAACGAGCCUCCAACACCGAGGAAGAUACUGCUGUCGAUGAUGACAAGGAUGGUGACGACUACAUGGAUAUGAAAGCGAUGACGCCAGCUGAUUGUGAGCCAGAGGUGACUCUGUCAGCUGGAGACUGUGUAUUUGACGCGUCUGACGUCCACAACUCCACUACAGUGGAGGGGGAAGACCAGGAGAUGUCGGGCUACGUUCAAGAUAACUUUGACUUCCUGGACCAAAUGGACAGCAGCGUCCUGGACCACAUGGACUGCAGUGUCUCCUACCAGGUGACCGAGUUCUCAGUUGAACCUCCUGGACACUCAGAUGAUGAGUAUGAAGUGAUGGCGCAAGCUCGGCCUUCCAGUCGUCCUGCGGAGCUGCAAACAGACCUGCCACCACCCCCUCAAACACGAACCCAGAGCCAGGCAGAGUUAAAUCCACACAGGCCGCUCAGCAUCGACUCACACAACCGACACACUAAAUCCCUCAGCCUGCCGUACAUGACCUCCCCCAUCCACGGGCCGGAGGAGUCCUGCUCUGAAGAGGAGGCUGCAGUGGAGGACAGCGAUGCCAAUGAUUACAGCAGCGAGGAAGAUGAGAGCAUGUUUAUUAAAAGCCUUCCCCCUGAUUUCUUCUUAAAGAAUUUGAGCUUUGAAGCAGACACAGAACAGACAGACACUCACAAACAGGACAGAUGCACUCUAGAUGGAGUUCCUGCACAUCAAUCCCAGAGCUCUGCGGACAGAGGAUGCCAGUCACUGAACUUUGCAUUUUCUGCACGUAAAGAAUCAACUGUUGGAGAUCUGGAGCAGGUGGAAGGGAAAGAUAAUGGAGAAAAUGAUGCGCUGCAAGAAAAGGAGAUAACAAAGAAGGAAGAGGAAGCUCCCCGGGGAAGCGAGCAACUGGAAAACAAUAGGCAAAGGGAAGCAACAGAGGAAGAUGUCAUAGAAGACCCUCCCAGUGACAAAGAACAACCUCUCACUCCAGAGGCAUCAACGCUCUGCUGCGUAGACUUCCCACUCCCGAGCGAUGAUGAAUCAAGCACCGUUGCCGACCUAAAGGCGGAAGAAGAGGCAGAUGUGUUUGACAAUCAUUGCAGCGAUUACCCACCUCGUCACGACGUCCCUUGUGCUACACAGGAAGAAACCGAUGACGUUUCUUUAGAGGAGUCCGGAGACUUUUCUGUAAGGGCAACAGAGCAGCCCCAAACCUGUGAUACCAAAGAGAGAGACAGGGAUGAGGGAGAGGACAGGGAGGUGUACAAAGAGACAGAGGACAUAUGUCAAGGAAUGGUUCUGGAAAUAAAAGAAAGGGAUGAUGACAUGUGGGAAGAAACCACUGAGGAAGGCAUUGAAGUGAUAGCUGAAGAAAAACAUGAAGAAAAGAUGCAGGGAGGCGACACAGAGCAUGAUGGUGCAAUUUGUAGGGCAGGCUGGGACAUUUGGGUUGAACUUGAGCAUGUUAUAUGUGAAGUGAUAGAGGAUAAGGAAAGCAAGCAGGUCGAGGCGAAGGGUACAAGAGAAAGUGUCGGUGGGGAGGGAGACAUGAUCGGAGAUGUCAAUUUCGGAGAAGAGGAAGAGCAGGUAGCAAAGGUUUCAGGAGAGGGAACGGUGGAAGUGGACGGAGAAGAGACGAACGAGACAGAAGUUAGAGAAGAGGUAGCGGAGGAAUCAAUGGAGACGGCUGAGGAAAAGCUCACAGACGCAGAGAUGCAGCUGGAGUUUGGGGAACAAGAGACCAACGUACAACUUACAAAGACAUGUGAACCAGAAGAAGCCAUUCAUGGGAAGCAUGUCGUAAAUGAGGAAGCACAGCAGCAUGACAGAGUGGACAAAGAGAACAAUGACAAAGAGAGAGCUGAUGAGCAACGUAGAACACCGCCAAGUGUAGAUGAAUGGCUGAAAGAGGUCAGGUGUGAUGUGAAGGAGUUGAAAGAGGGCAGAAAGUGUGAGGGAAGUGACAGCAGCCAAGGGGGAUUGGGAAGGAAGCUGGUCAUCUCCAAAAACCCGAGGGUUUACCAAGUAAAAGCUGUGCCGGUCGUGCCCCCGAAGCCGCAGCACUGCAAAAUCACCGCCCUGACCCUGCGGCAGCAGCAGCAGCAAAGAGACGCCGACAGAGAGAGAGAGAACACGGCCAUAGUCCCGGCGGAGCAGGGCAGAGGGUGGGCGGGAGACGGCGAAGACGACGGCGGGGGGAGAAAGGAGCAGCCGACAUUCAGGGGAGGGGAGAAAGGAGAGAGGGAGAGGAGAAGGGAGGGGGAGGACAGGGAUGCGAGGGACACGAGCACAAACAGCCCCCUCAGCAUGUGUUUCGAUGAGGCGGUUGCCAUAGCAACCAUGAGGAGAGGGAAAGAGAAAGAGUGCGAGAAAGAGAAGGAGAGGCAGAGGGAUUGGGGAAAUGAAGUACAGUAAAGUAUUUUUUUGUGUCUGUAUAUUGAUAUGAAGUGAUUUGACUGUACAAACUAUUUUUCUAUGUGUAGCAUAAUGGGCUGUAUUUUUUUUUCUUCCAAUACUGAGGAUGUCUUAUUAAUAGGCUACAGGAGCCUAUUCUCACUGCAAUGCUAGUUGUUACUAGUAGAUGUUAAGGUGAGUUUUUUUUUACAACACACAAACUUGAUGUGCAGUCAAGAAACUAGUAUUUUUAAAAUAUAUAUAUAUUUUCUGGGGAGGAUUUUAUUAUUUUAUUCGUCAGAGAACCAUAUAGAGCUGAAAGGAAAUUAGGGAGAAGAGUUGGGAGGGAGACAGUCCCCCGGCCGGACUCGAACUAGGGAUGAUGUAAUGGGAACAACAGUGAUACCGUUACAAAGGUUGCAAUUGUGCUUCCUGAUAUUAAGUUUAAUAAAACUGAAACUGAAAGCAAACACAGAGGUGAGAUGAGAUUAAAGGUGAAGUGCUGCUGAAACACAUUGAGCAGAGGUGCCUAAAUUCUUUCAUAUGAAGGGCCAAAAUGUAUCUGGAUGGAAGGCCACGGGCCAAAAAUAAAUGUCGAUGUUGAAGAAUACCGUAAUUCUUGCCAUUCUCCAUAGAUAAAACGUACAUUAAAUGGGAAGUUCACCAGCACUGUGCAUUACAUUGCCGUUAAACUCAGAUUACGUACUUUUUAACUGCACAAAAUGUACGUUUCGUAGUCAUUACUUUUAAAAUAAGAGGAGAAUAAGCAUGAAUAUGUCAAAUCUAUGGCGGGUCAAAACAAAGAGAGCACGGGCCAAACUUGGCCCGCGGGCCCCAAAUUGAGUGGCCUUGAUGUUGAGGAUAAAAUAAUACAUGCAUAACCCAGAACUAGGUCACCCCACUCCAUUUUGAUCAAAAGUAAAAAAGAUUAGUCUCAAAUCUAGCUCACACCUGUUUGCACUCAAGUAUGUAGUUAAAUAUUUUCAGAGCAGGGAUGAUGAAUCAAAUGUAUCAUUUAUGAUGAAUAUAAUAUCUGCAGAAGUCAAGUAUUUUUUUGGUUAUGUGAAU